GAUUAGUGGCGAACGGGUGAGUAACACGUGGGUGAUCUGCCCUGCACUUCGGGAUAAGCCUGGGAAACUGGGUCUAAUACCGGAUAGGACCUCGGGAUGCAUGUUCCGGGGUGGAAAGGUUUUCCGGUGCAGGAUGGGCCCGCGGCCUAUCAGCUUGUUGGUGGGGUAACGGCCCACCAAGGCGACGACGGGUAGCCGGCCUGAGAGGGCGACCGGCCACACUGGGACUGAGACACGGCCCAGACUCCUACGGGAGGCAGCAGUGGGGAAUAUUGCACAAUGGGCGCAAGCCUGAUGCAGCGACGCCGCGUGAGGGAUGACGGCCUUCGGGUUGUAAACCUCUUUCAGUACCGACGAAGCGCAAGUGACGGUAGGUACAGAAGAAGCACCGGCCAACUACGUGCCAGCAGCCGCGGUAAUACGUAGGGUGCGAGCGUUGUCCGGAAUUACUGGGCGUAAAGAGCUCGUAGGCGGUUUGUCGCGUCGUCUGUGAAAACCCGCAGCUCAACUGCGGGCUUGCAGGCGAUACGGGCAGACUUGAGUACUGCAGGGGAGACUGGAAUUCCUGGUGUAGCGGUGAAAUGCGCAGAUAUCAGGAGGAACACCGGUGGCGAAGGCGGGUCUCUGGGCAGUAACUGACG
This 641-nucleotide ribosomal RNA is filed under the name Rhodococcus sp. I13A-00408. RNAcentral describes it as "bacterial SSU rRNA". It matches the Rfam family "Bacterial small subunit ribosomal RNA", at positions 90 to 745 of the family's 1533-position model. Lineage: Bacteria; Bacillati; Actinomycetota; Actinomycetes; Mycobacteriales; Nocardiaceae. The record is from RNAcentral.